This 485-nucleotide ribosomal RNA is filed under the name uncultured bacterium. RNAcentral's name for it is "partial 16S ribosomal RNA". It matches the Rfam family "Bacterial small subunit ribosomal RNA", at positions 27 to 507 of the family's 1533-position model. The record is from RNAcentral.
GAUUGAACGCUGGCGGCAGGCCUAACACAUGCAAGUCGAGCGGAUGAAGGGAGCUUGCUCCUGGAUUCAGCGGCGGACGGGUGAGUAAUGCCUAGGAAUCUGCCUGGUAGUGGGGGAUAACGUCCGGAAACGGGCGCUAAUACCGCAUACGUCCUGAGGGAGAAAGUGGGGGAUCUUCGGACCUCACGCUAUCAGAUGAGCCUAGGUCGGAUUAGCUAGUUAGUGGGGUAAAGGCCUACCAAGGCGACGAUCCGUAACUGGUCUGAGAGGAUGAUCAGUCACACUGGAGCUGAGACACGGUCCAGACUCCUACGGGAGGCAGCAGUGGGGAAUAUUGGACAAUGGGCGAAAGCCUGAUCCAGCCAUGCCGCGUGUGUGAAGAAGGUCUUCGGAUUGUAAAGCACUUUAAGUUGGGAGGAAGGGCAGUAAGUUAAUACCUUGCUGUUUUGACGUUACCAACAGAAUAAGCACCGGCUAACUUCGUG